GGUAUUUCCGUGAGAAGCAUAGGCAUGAGUUCCAUUCUCCACCCCCAUGUACCCAAACGCCAUCCCGCAGAAGAGAGGGGCAGCGAGGUGGAAAUCUGAAAGAGCCCGGGAAUUUGCCUAAGAGGACACAUUGCAUUCUUUCUCCUGGAUACAGCCGAAAUCUCGUUACUGCACUCUGUCCGGUGAUGCUGAGAAGGAAUGGUUCGGCUGUGGACAAAGAGAAGAACCAGCAUCUUUCUUCGCUCCUCUGACUGGUCACCAUCAUGCCACCUACCACCCAGCAGUCCCUUCAUGGAGGCUAAUCCAAGAGAGAGAGCAUGCUUUCUCUGGUCAAGGCCGCGUCAAGAUUCAACAGCACUCCGCACGGGGGAAUAAUUUGGUGCCCCUUCAUAUUGGGAAAAAACAGAUUCCCCUCUCACUAGUGGUCUACACCAGACGGGGAAGCUCUGUUCUAUGGAGUCUUUAGGAACCCACACUUCUUUAUCUUGCUGUUCUGCCAUGCGUGGCCUCCCAUGCCCAGGUCACCUCGUGGUCCAAGAUGACUCUUACAGCUGCAUUCUGAUCCUAAAGGAUGAAGAAGAAACAGCAGAGGCUUCCCAGAACUGUCACAUGAUAUUUCUGAAUGUAUCUCAUUGGCCAGAACUCAUCUACGUGGUCACUCCUAGCUCUGAGAUCUGGGAAUUAGAGUCUUUAUUCGGGGUGGCCACGUGCCCAGCCACAAGAGCUGAUUCUCUUCACACGGAGAAAGGGGACCAAGGAUGCUGUGGGCUUAGAAGCAUACUCUGCCAAACUUAUUAAUUAAAACGUUUUAUGCAGACAGA
This is a long non-coding RNA of Camelus dromedarius (Arabian camel), 821 nucleotides long. RefSeq lists it as uncharacterized. The record is from RefSeq and is a predicted model, not a curated record. The transcript has 2 exons. NCBI's taxonomy places the organism in Eukaryota, Metazoa, Chordata, Mammalia, Artiodactyla, Camelidae.